This 2064-nucleotide long non-coding RNA is filed under the name Cucumis sativus (cucumber). RNAcentral's name for it is "long non-coding RNA (CSAT_LNC001847)". The record is from RNAcentral. Lineage: Eukaryota; Viridiplantae; Streptophyta; Magnoliopsida; Cucurbitales; Cucurbitaceae.
AAAAAAGAAAGUUUCCAAUCUCAUUUUAUCUUCAUUACUUUCUACACCAAAAUUGGGUCCCACAACCCGGUUCUUUGUCUAGAGGAUAGCAGUUGAGUACUAGUGGUGGUCUCGGGUAGAAUUGGUAAGAAGACAUCAAACCUUUUGAAAGCUUCAAAGGUAAUACUUCUUAAAACCCUAAUUUGAUUAGUUUAUGGUUAGAUGUUAAUUGUGGCAAUUAGGGUAGAAAUUCGAUUCUUUUUCCGCUGUGCAUGACUUAGUUCUAUCAUGUGGUAUCAGAGCAUGCUUCAUUUUUACCCAAUUGCAUGUGGUGGGUUCAUAUUUAUUAGAUAAAUUUUGGUUUGAACUAAAAUGGAUAUAUUAUGAUUUUGGCUCUAGAUUAAGUGUUUUUGUUCUAAUUAUUGUAAUUAGCCUUGUUAAUGGCUUAUUUUUAUUGUUGCAAAGUGUUUGUAAUUUUUAAAAAAAAUAAAAAAAGUCAUUAGAGUUGAAGCUAGGCUGUAAUUGGUUCAACCGGGUGAGAGAAUUGAAAAAAAAUGAAGAAAAGAAGGUCACAGACCCGAAAACCCGGUUUUGACCCGCUUCGCGACCCGCACGCGCCCUCCUGCGCCCGCGCGCCCUCCUGCGCCGCGCGGCGCCGCCGCACGCCCUCCUGCGCCCGCGCGCCCUCCUGCGCCCGCGCGCCUGCAUGCGCCCGUGCGCCCGCCUGUGCCCACGCGCCGCCAUGCGCCUGCGCGCCUGCCUUCGCACGACCCGUGUGCGCCUGGGCCGGUUCAAGCCAAUAAAUUUGGUUUUUGGGCCGGUUCAAGCGGUUUCGGUUGGUUUUUUAGCCGGUUCGAAGUUUUUGGGAGUGGUUCUGUACUACACCAAAUUAAUUAUGUAAUAAUUUAGCACUUAGCUUAAUUUAGGAGCCAAAAAUCAGUCCAUUUUAGGGUGUUUUUUUUUUAUUUAUGCAUGUGAUGUAUGAUUAAAUUACUUUAAAUUUGUAUGUGCAUUUUGAAUGUCAUAUAGAUUUAAAAUCCCACCAUAGGUUAACAUGUUCAUGCAUUAAAAUGUAUGAUAUAAAGGUUAUAUUGUAUUGUAUGCAUGUUAAUUGAUUAAUAUGGAAAUUAAUUAAUAUGAUUAAUUAAUUAUUUAAUUAAUUAAGUUAUUCUUGAUUAAAUAUGAUUUAAUCAAAUUAAUUAAUUAUUGUUUGAUUUAAUUUAAUUAAAUAUGAUUUAAUUAAAUUAAAAAUUAAAUAUGAUUUAAUUAAAGUUAAAUAAAUUAAAAUCCAUAUUAAUUGGAUUGUUUUUAUAAGGUUAUAUAUUGAUAAAAUGAUUGAUUAAGUUUAAAAGUUUUUAUAAGUGUUAUAAAAUAAAUUAGACUUUUAAAAUCAAUAACAAAGAUUAAAUGCAUGCUCACUUAGGUUAAACAUAUCUUCCAUUUUUCAUAGAAAUAGGUCGAUAUCUUGUAAAACUGGUUACAAAAGGCUCACCUGGUUCAAUCUUGUCAACAAGUCAGAUAAGAUGACUAAGGUUGGAGGUUCUUAAGUUGACGGUUUACGGAACACCUCCUACCUGGAGAUCGUAAUCAGUUCUUGAGCCUAGUUAACCUAGUUUUAUGAGCAUUCGUGAGAGGUGUGAGGUAAUAAAAAUGGUUUUUCACCUAGACAUCAUAGGUUAAAAUCCUGUAUAAUGGUUAUACUUGGAUGUUUUAUCUAGACUUAAGAUUUGUUUAAGUUAGCCUAAAUAUAAAUCUUGAAGUUUGGAUUACCCUAUUUUUUUCUUUUAGAACACUUCAACUAGAGAAAAAUAAUGUAUUUUAGCUCUAGUGUCCCUAAGAGUUCACACCGUGAGGUCCAUGCAGGGCUUUGUGCCGUGCAUAGGAGCGGCCUCCCUUCGGAGAGUGUUUGCAUGGAUCAAAAUCAAGGUGAAUAGGGGAAGUAGUUCAUAGUAAGUGGGUGAGGGAUUUGUGGCAGCACAUCCCACGGUCUCUUCCAUUAGGUCGCACCGUGAGAUUUCUAUAAUAUGCCUGCUUGUCUGCCCUGGAGCGACGUUCCCUUCGGAGGGUUGUAUUAUAGGAUUCGGA